RNAcentral lists this ribosomal RNA (423 nucleotides) under uncultured bacterium. RNAcentral describes it as "bacterial SSU rRNA". It matches the Rfam family "Bacterial small subunit ribosomal RNA", at positions 207 to 622 of the family's 1533-position model. The record is from RNAcentral.
AAGACCUUGCGCUUUUGGAGCGGCCGAUGUCUGAUUAGCUAGUUGGUGGGGUAAUAGCCUACCAAAGCUUCGAUCAGUAGCUGGUCUGAGAGGACGACCAGCCACACUGGGACUGAGACACGGCCCAGACUCCUACGGGAGGCAGCAGUGGGGAAUUUUGGACAAUGGGCGCAAGCCUGAUCCAGCCAUGCCGCGUGAGUGAAGAAGGCCUUCGGGUUGUAAAGCUCUUUCAGCCGGGAAGAAAAGGCUACGACGAAUAAUCGUAGCUCAUGACGGUACCGGAAGAAGAAGCACCGGCUAACUACGUGCCAGCAGCCGCGGUAAUACGUAGGGUGCGAGCGUUAAUCGGAAUUACUGGGCGUAAAGGGUGCGCAGGCGGUUUUGUAAGUCAGAUGUGAAAUCCCCGGGCUUAACCUGGGAACU